Molecule: ribosomal RNA, 446 nt
Filed under: uncultured bacterium
Lineage: Bacteria
Description: bacterial SSU rRNA
Rfam family: Bacterial small subunit ribosomal RNA
Source: RNAcentral
UGCCAGACUCCUACGGGAGGCAGCAGUGGGGAAUAUUGCACAAUGGGGGAAACCCUGAUGCAGCAACGCCGCGUGAGUGAAGAAGUAUUUCGGUAUGUAAAGCUCUAUCAGCAGGGAAGAAAAUGACGGUACCUGAGUAAGAAGCCCCGGCUAACUACGUGCCAGCAGCCGCGGUAAUACGUAGGGGGCAAGCGUUAUCCGGAUUUACUGGGUGUAAAGGGAGCGUAGACGGCGAUACAAGUCUGAAGUGAAAGCCCGGGGCUCAACCCCGGGACUGCUUUGGAAACUGUGUUGCUGGAGUGCUGGAGAGGCAAGCGGAAUUCCUAGUGUAGCGGUGAAAUGCGUAGAUAUUAGGAAGAACACCAGUGGCGAAGGCGGCUUGCUGGACAGUAACUGACGUUGAGGCUCGAAAGCGUGGGGAGCAAACAGGAUUAGAUACCCUAGUA